CAGGAAACCAAACCUCACUUGAGUGGCUUCACCGGGUGUUUAUCGCCGCGUCUCCGAGGCGUGCACGACCGGAGGGCUUCGUGCGGGUCACAGCCCUGUGUUGGCGAUGGGUUGUCCUUGGUUCAUUUUUCCCAGCUGGUUCCCGCCCGUGUGCUGUGCCCCUGCAGGGACGGGGGCGCGACAACGCAGGCCUCCUUCCCACCCACCGGGCACUGCAGUGGGCGUGCUCCCGCGGGAGCUCUGCUGCGACCCGGGCGGGCGCCGGGCGCACCAGCGUCGAGUCCAACGUGCCCAGUCUGCAGAGUUUGCAAAUAAAGUACGAAUCUGCGUGUGGUUGUGCCACCCGGAGGCACCUGCUGUUCACAUCGUGGCGCGUUUCGUUCUCACCUUCUUUUAUCUGUGUUUGCACCGACCCAAUUUGGGACAUUCCGUGUGCAAAGCUCUAUACUCCACAGUCUCCGAUGCCAUGAAACGUUUCGAGAAUAUGAUUUAACUGCACAAUGUUCCACCCCCUAUUGAUAAAGCAUCGCUUAUUUAUCGGUUUCCUUAUUAGAGAUGUUGGCUACGAUUCUUCACUACCACGGACGUUAUUAUAAAGAGAACUUCUAGGCACAUGUCUACACACCUGCCUGUCUGGGGAUAUGGCCCUUUAAUGUACUUGGGGGAUUUAAAGACUUGGGAAGCUGUUGAUCGUACUACCAAAUUUUUUAAAAAUAUUUUAUUUAUUUAUUCAUGAGAGACACAGAGAGAGAGAGAGGCAGAGACCCAGGCAGAGGGAGAAGCAGUCUCCAUGCAGGGAGCCCGACGUGGGACUCGAUCCCGGGUCUCCAGGAUCACACCCCCAGGCCGAAGGCAGUGCUAAACCACUGAGCCACCGGGCUGCCCCGUACUACCAAAUUUUUUGUCGGAAGGUUGAUCGUCUCUCUUCCCAUCAGCAGAGAGGAAUGCCUGAUUUGUCACACUACAGUGACCGCUCCAAAGCAAAGACGUGUUUCCAGUGUGUUUCAUUAUGAGACUUAAAAUGCUAAAGCCCGAGGGGCCCUGCCCACCGACUCCCUGUGAGAUGCUCUGAAAGGUCUGCGUGAGUCUCUACGUUUCUGGCCCCCAAAUGAAGGCCCAACAGGACGAGCGAGGGACGGGCCGCAAAAGAUGCCGGCGGGAGAUUUCACGAUGAUGUGGAUGGGAGCAGCUUGAGUGUCCGUGACGCCAGCAGGAUGCGGGUCGGCGCUGCCACCUGCCCCCCGCCCCCGUGACAGGUGCCCGGCUGGCAUCCAGGCCAUGGCUGACUGGACUCUGCGGUCACCCUCCACCUGCCCCAGCAGAACCCACGCUCUCCGGGGCAUCCCCGCAGGACACGCAUGCUGCACGCAGGGCAGGAAGGGUGGGGGGGCUCACUGUCCCCUCACCACCAAAUGUGGCCCUAGGUGCCAACCGUGGGCCGCCGUCAUGCUCCUGCCGCCUGCCGGCUUCCGUGGGCAGGUCCUUGUGCAACCCGUGUCGCCCUCAGGGGCACAGGAAGCUCCUACGGACCCCCCGGCUUCCAUCUCCCGGGACGGAGUGGCCUGUGGUCCAGCUUCCCUCCACGUUGGGCCUCAAGGCUUAGAGCUGUGUUCAUCUGACUGUUCUAGGUGGUUCUACAGACCCAAGACCUCCCGGUGGCCACAGCCGUGGGAGGAGGCAGAAGGAAUGGGGCCAAGGAGCGUAAGCCCCGCGGCCCUCUGAGACCCCGCGUCUGCUAGUGCUUGGUGAGGGCAGGGGCAGGAAGGCCCACGGCCACCCCCGGCUGCUCCCUGCCCCAGGGCCAAGGGACCAAUCCGCCCAAGUCCAUUCUGAUGCCGCCUAGCUGUGUCCCCUAGACUUUGGGGGCCCCGUAGUUCAGGUCAGCCUCACCCCAGUUUGCCCGGAGAGGCCCCGGCUCAUAUGUAGGCUUGUCCCACCCUGAUCCUAACAGACUCCCCCACUUUUACUCCCGGAGGUAUCCUGGUGCGGGGAUGACAUCGUGGAGUCACCCUGACUGUUGUCCACGGGAGACCUCACGGCCCAGCCCCCGGGCAUGUCGGAGCCCAAGGGGGGUCACAGUCAGGCUCCUGCCCCUGUAACGUGGUCUCAUGUCCCCCGACCCACCCCGGCCCUCUGACUACCUCUGAUACCUGCCAGGGGGCCCCGAACCCCCGCCCCUGUGUCCAGGCCGGGACUCAGCCUGCGAGGGGGUGACAAAUCCCCGCGCCCCUGAGAGUGAGGACAGGCGCCCCUCCCGGACGCGGGCUCGCGUGGUCUGUGGGGCGGGCCGCUGGUCGAACCCCCGCGACUGAAACAGCCACCUGCCUGCCGUCGGAUGCUCUGAAGGAAUUUGUGUUAGAGAACAUGGAGAAACCAUUCUCAUUUAGGGAAUGAAAGACAUAAAAGGAAAAAGGCCAAGUGGGCAAGGCCGGGAACCAAGUCACUGAUGAAUUGGGGAGAUUAUAGGAUUUAUGGAGAAAAAUGAAAGAAUAAGAAAUUUUCUUGAGUCUUUCGAAGGGGCAAUUAAUGGCCUAUAGGAUUUGAUUUCAACUUUUGUUCGCUUUUUUCUUUCUCUUGGCUACUUUGUGGACAGAUUCAUCUUUGAAACGUCCGAUGCUUGGCUUUCCAAGGUUCUUCGGGCAGAGACUCAAAGUGGAGAAGCGACCACUUCUUAAAAGAAAUGCUAAAAAAAAGAAAAAAGAAAAAAAGAAAUGGUUUCCUUUUUAAUUAACAAAGUAAACGGGGAGAAGAAGCAUCUUUAAUAUUUGCAAAAGCCUCAAAAAAAAUUUCACCAGCUAGAGACACAAAAGGAAACGAGUCGUCAGGCCUGGGGAACCUCUCCUCAAUUAUGGGAUGUUUUCAGAUUUAAAUCCUACAUACCUGAGUUUUAUCUGUUUGCAGAUGUCCCAAACAAUAGGGUUUCUGGUUUCUUCAUGGAUAUUUUGUUUAAUGUUCUUAAAGAAGUCUGGGAUGGGCUCUUAACACCCUGUCUUUUUGUCCAAAAAAAAAAAAAAAAAAGUAAAAGUAAAAGUAUUUUGUCUUUAACGUUUUAAAAAAUC
Molecule: long non-coding RNA, 3059 nt
Organism: Nyctereutes procyonoides (raccoon dog)
Lineage: Eukaryota; Metazoa; Chordata; Mammalia; Carnivora; Canidae
Exons: 3
Source: RefSeq, a predicted model, not a curated record